CGUGCCUAAUACAUGCAAGUCGAACGGUCUUUCUAUGGAAGCUUGCUUCCACUGAGAAGAUAGUGGCGAACGGGUGAGUAACACGUGGGUAACCUGCCCAUAAGAGGGGGAUAACAUCCGGAAACGGGUGCUAAUACCGCAUAGUUUUCUUGAUCGCAUGAUUGAGAAAGGAAAGACGGCCUUUGUGCUGUCGCUUAUGGAUGGACCCGCGGCGUAUUAGUUAGUUGGUGAGGUAGCGGCUCACCAAGACGAUGAUACGUAGCCGACCUGAGAGGGUGAUCGGCCACAUUGGGACUGAGACACGGCCCAAACUCCUACGGGAGGCAGCAGUAGGGAAUCUUCCGCAAUGGACGAAAGUCUGACGGAGCAACGCCGCGUGAGUGAAGAAAGGUUUUCGGAUCGUAAAACUCUGUUGUCAGAGAAGAACAAGUUGGAGAGUAACUGCUCCAGCCUUGACGGUAUCUGACCAGAAAGCCACGGCUAACUACGUGCCAGCCGCAGC
Molecule: ribosomal RNA, 502 nt
Filed under: uncultured bacterium
Lineage: Bacteria
Description: bacterial SSU rRNA
Rfam family: Bacterial small subunit ribosomal RNA
Source: RNAcentral